This 304-nucleotide unclassified non-coding RNA is filed under the name plant metagenome. RNAcentral's name for it is "partial contains 5.8S ribosomal RNA, internal transcribed spacer 2, and large subunit ribosomal RNA". The stretch from base 1 to 104 matches the Rfam family "5.8S ribosomal RNA", at positions 51 to 154 of the family's 154-position model. The record is from RNAcentral.
AAAUGCGAUAAGUAGUGUGAAUUGCAGAAUUCAGUGAAUCAUCGAAUCUUUGAACGCACAUUGCGCCCCUUGGUAUUCCAUGGGGCAUGCCUGUUCGAGCGUCAUUUGUACCUUCAAGCUCUGCUUGGUGUUGGGUGUUUGUCUCGCCUCUGCGCGCAGACUCGCCUCAAAACAAUUGGCAGCCGGCGUAUUGAUUUCGGAGCGCAGUACAUCUCGCGCUUUGCACUCAGAACGACGACGUCCAAAAGUACAUUUUUUACACUCUUGACCUCGGAUCAGGUAGGGAUACCCGCUGAACUUAAGC